RNAcentral lists this ribosomal RNA (429 nucleotides) under Fusobacteriota bacterium. RNAcentral's name for it is "Fusobacteria bacterium partial 16S ribosomal RNA". It matches the Rfam family "Bacterial small subunit ribosomal RNA", at positions 355 to 776 of the family's 1533-position model. The record is from RNAcentral. Lineage: Bacteria; Fusobacteriati; Fusobacteriota.
UGGGGAAUAUUGCGCAAUGGGCGAAAGCCUGAUGCAGCGACGCCGCGUGAGGGAUGAAGGAUUUCGGAUCGUAAACCUCUGUCAGAAGGGAAGAAACCGCACUGUGCUAAUCAGCAGUGCCUUGACGGUACCUUCAAAGGAAGCACCGGCUAACUCCGUGCCAGCAGCCGCGGUAAUACGGAGGGUGCAAGCGUUAAUCGGAAUUACUGGGCGUAAAGCGCACGUAGGCUGCUUUGUAAGUCAGGGGUGAAAUCCCACGGCUCAACCGUGGAACUGCCUUUGAUACUGCUUAACUUGAAUCCGGGAGAGGGUGGCGGAAUUCCAGGUGUAGGAGUGAAAUCCGUAGAUAUCUGGAGGAACAUCAGUGGCGAAGGCGGCCACCUGGACCGGUAUUGACGCUGAGGUGCGAAAGCGUGGGGAACAAACAGG